Long non-coding RNA from Alligator mississippiensis (American alligator), 1686 nucleotides. RefSeq lists it as uncharacterized. Lineage: Eukaryota; Metazoa; Chordata; Crocodylia; Alligatoridae. The transcript is spliced from 3 exons. The record is from RefSeq and is a predicted model, not a curated record.
AUGCCAAAGGAUCUUCAUGAAAAAACUGCUUCUCUUUUGCCUUCCCAAGGGCUCUCAUCUGUGCAGUCCACUCAAGACUUAUUCCUGUCACAUCACAUAGAAAACCACAUGGUCAGAUGCAGGAUGGUCACAAAGUUGGUUGCUUCUACCACAAGGAAGCAGCAGAUCCAUGGCCGUGCAGUGAUGGACACUUCAUACGGACAUAUGUGGGAUCCAUGGUGUUUUGACCCAUGUUCCUUCCACACUCUCUGAAGAGCAGUAUAUUAUCUGAUGCUUCAUUGUGGGACUUCUUGUAUUUGGAAGUUUCUAGGGAAGUCGGUGACAUGAAGUGAAGCAUGAGAGAGAGCAAGGAGGAAGGUAAGAAAGAUCACCACUGCUACUGUUGCUGCUUCACAGAAAUGUAAUCUUUUGUGAUCUCUUUGGAACAGGAGGUAAAUAAUAAAACACAAGGGAUGGAAAGAAUUAAAAUAAAUGUAGCGUGUGAGUGCAUGCUAAAAUAGAUGUCAGAUUAAAAAUGACUGAAAAAGAAAUUCUACUGUAGGAAGAGAAAAGUGGUUUUCCUUCAGCUUUUCAGAUUCCACCUUCAUUAGGUAGCAAGUAAAAGAGCUGUGUAGGAAAAAGAGGACUUUUGUUGUUUCCUUCUGAACUUUGAGAGAAGCAUAAUGCAAGCACAAGGGGAUGGUUUUGUGGAGCGCAGCCCAGGAACAAUUCUCAGAGUGAAUUCCAGGAACCACAAGAAUGUAUUUGUGUGAGACAAGCUUUGGGAGUUGGGACUUUAAGUUUGCAGUACAGUACAUCCAGGAAAUUGAAUCCUGAACUUCAGCUUUUGAUCAGUACUCCAAUGCUAAGGAAAAAAAAAUGCAAAGUGGUAGUCUCACACUGUCUAACACCUACUUGCAAUGGACCUGCAGGCCAAUCUAGACACCAAGGAUCCUACUCUAUUCCCUUCAGCCUUUUUGACACUGACUUUGUCAAUGGAGUUAUCCUCCUGUUCAGUGUAAGCAGAAGUAUUGCCAGGCCUUCUUACUGUCAUGGAAGGGCUAUUGUUGUAGGAGCUUAACAUUUUUUUUCCCUUCAUGGUGGCCAUGCCAUACUGACCUUCACAGAUAGGAGGCUCCACAACGAAGGACUCUAAGAACACAUUUUAUUCUGUAGAAGUUGUGCCAUGAGUCCUGUAAAGCUACUUCAUUCUCUCUGUAAAGCUCUCAUUCUCACUGACAACAGCUGACUGCAACUUGGGACCUGUGGGGAGAUGGUAAAGGGUAGAAAUGACAGAAGCCUAGCCUGUUUAAAAACUAAGUACUAAAACAUUGAACCUUCACCUGUCUCCUGCUCUGUAUUUGCACUCUCCAGGCUCCCUUUAAGUUUCUCUUUAGAAGUCCUACAGCAGUUUAGACUAUCUAAGCUUUUACUGCCAAUGGUCAGUGGGCAUUUUACAUACUAUAUCUUUGUAACGUAAGAAUGUUCUCAUUCUGAGCUGCCCUAUUAAAUAGGAAUUGACCAGAUGGACAUUCUUGUUUCUCUUCCUCCUGGACAGGUUGAAUCUAAUUAAAAAUCAUUCCCUCUUCCCCACCCCCACUACAUAUUUUCAAUAUCAUCCAGAUGUUAUCCCUGGUUAUUUCAAUAAAGCACCAUCAAAUUUGGAUAAAACAUGAUGAUUUUUAUCCUGGGAGGCAAAAAGCCAAA